CGGUGUGAUGGUGCGCGGGUCUGGCAUGGCGUGGGAUUUGCGCCGCGCGCAGCCCUAUGAGUGCUAUGACGAGUUCGAUUUCCUCAUUCCGG
Molecule: transfer RNA, 92 nt
Filed under: Roseovarius mucosus
Lineage: Bacteria; Pseudomonadati; Pseudomonadota; Alphaproteobacteria; Rhodobacterales; Roseobacteraceae
Description: tRNA-Ile
Source: RNAcentral